GAGACUAAGCCCACUUUUUCUUCUUUAACGUAGAUAAAAUAUUAUUUGUAAAAAAACAAAAACGAAUUAAGAAAAAAUUAAACUCGAUUUGUCUGCAUUCUUUCAUAUAUUACUCAAAACUAAAGAGACGAAAAGGUAUAAUAAUAUAUGUGAUCAGUUUGUCAGCCUGGCGUUGAACAUGGCAUGUGGCCACGUGGGAUUCCACUAAUUAAUAACAACUGUUUGAAUCUGGUUUCACCAUACAGCCUACCUACCAAUUUGGAGAGGAAGAGGAAAUGGAAAUAUACUGCAUGAUUUGUAUGAUUUUACGACUGGUUAGCAUCUUAUUAAGCUACUAAUUGGUUUGCACUUAAAAGCACUUGUAUAUGUAUAUUCAAUACGAUGGUUGUACUUUGGGAUCAGGAUGAUCCUGAGACCAUCCGUAGGCCAGGAAACAAGCAUGUGAAGGUCAUCUAAGGACUCUUCGAAUGUUUGGUACAUAUAUCUUUUUGUACUCACUAAGUGUUUGAUGUAAUGUUUACAAGGCAUAUCUUGACAAGUUGCGUCAACAAACACUCUCUAUAACACUCAUCAGAUUGCUUCAGCAAAUGUUGAUAUUUAUUGACAUAUAAACAAUAGAUAUCGACAUUUGUACACUUUUUGCCAAGUUUCUAUCUAAAAACUUGAACCUUUUAACAUUAGCACCCAAAAAAUUCAAAUCCUAAAUCUACCGGUGUGGAUAUAUGUAUAUUAUGUACAACUUUCAAGUUGUUCCAUCAAUUAUGCAUUCAUUCAUAUAAAUAUUUUUGUAGCAUUGUACCAACUCUGCCUUCAUAUUCUAGAACCAGAUAGAUAAAGUUAUUAUUGUAGCUGCUGCCCCUUCAUGUUCUAUACAGGUAGAGAGGAUCAUACUCAAUCACAACAGACAUUUAAUAACAAACAUAUAUCUUCUGUCUCAAUCCCUAAAAUCAAUGGUCAAAUUACAUUUCACCUCCUACAUGCUUACUCAAAAUUAGAUUCAUUGCAAUGUUAGCUUCCGUCACAUAAUGUGUUACUUAGAUUUUCGCUGAUCUAGAAGCCAAUAGUAGGUCACGCAGAUGAAAGCCAAUAUAAAAGAAGUAAUGUUAUUUAGACACAAAAAAGAAUAAUCACAUUACUAUCGGAAUGAGUCCCAUGUAUGUUGGAAAAUGAUUUCCGCAUACACCGUAACGUAUUUAUUUAUGUCCCUAGGCUAGAUUGUCGGAUCAUUAUUCAUCUUGGAUUAGGGCUUGAAUGAUUAUUGGAAUGGGCAAGAUAAAACCCAAUGGGCUUCCAAAUCAUUUAUAAAGCCCGUUUUAUUACAUCUUACCA
Molecule: long non-coding RNA, 1329 nt
Filed under: Malus domestica (apple)
Lineage: Eukaryota; Viridiplantae; Streptophyta; Magnoliopsida; Rosales; Rosaceae
Description: long non-coding RNA (MDOM_LNC014664)
Source: RNAcentral